GGUGGUCCGAGUUGUAAUUUGCAGAGGGUGCCUUGGCGAGGCGCCGGCCGAGUGCCUGGAACGGGACGCCACAGAGGGUGAGAGCCCCGUACGGCCGCGCGUCGAGCCUCUGUAAGGCCCCUUCGAAGAGUCGAGUAGUUUGGGAAUGCUGCUCUAAGCGGGAGGUAAACUCCUUCUAAAGCUAAAUACCUGCCAGAGACCGAUAGCGCACAAGUAGAGUGAUCGAAAGAUGAAAAGCACUUUGAAAAGAGAGUCAAACAGCACGUGAAAUUGUUGAAAGGGAAGCGCUUGCGGCCAGACUUGCACCCAGCGGCUCACCGCCCCCCGCGGGCGGUGCACUCCGCUGGGCGCAGCCAGCAUCGGUUCGAGCCGGGGACAAAGCCGCGGGGACGUGGCUUCUCGGAGUGGUAUACCCACCGCUACGCCCGGGCGCGGACCGAAGUCCGNGCCAAGGAUCUGCCUAAUGGCCCCCAAAGAACCCUUUUGAACCCGGACCAAGGAUUCGUCUUACAUCNAAUGUUCGGUGAAAAAGCCCUUCCCGCAAUGAAAGUGACCGGAGUAAAACUUUGGCGCAUCAUCGACCGAUCUGAUUCCUCGGAUGGAUUGAAUAGGACAUGCUUGGCCGGACCCCAAAAAAAGUGACUAUCUUGGAUNGGCAAAGCCCNAGGAAACUUUGUGGAGGUUCCCAACGGUUUUUACUCAAAAUUGAUGGCAAAAUUUA
This 721-nucleotide ribosomal RNA is filed under the name Corollospora pulchella. RNAcentral's name for it is "eukaryotic LSU rRNA". It matches the Rfam family "Eukaryotic large subunit ribosomal RNA", at positions 132 to 913 of the family's 3401-position model. The record is from RNAcentral. Lineage: Eukaryota; Fungi; Ascomycota; Sordariomycetes; Microascales; Halosphaeriaceae.